Molecule: long non-coding RNA, 647 nt
Organism: Mandrillus leucophaeus (drill)
Lineage: Eukaryota; Metazoa; Chordata; Mammalia; Primates; Cercopithecidae
Exons: 2
Source: RefSeq, a predicted model, not a curated record
AAAGUAAGUAAUAUGAAGACAGCAGCAGAGAUUGGAGCUUGGCAAUAGCCAAGCUAUGUCAGCAGCCGUCAGAAGUUGGAAGAGGCAAGGAAGGAUUUGAGCCUAGAGCCUUCGGAAGGAGCAUGGCCCUGUUGAUUCUGGCCUCCAGAGCUGUGAGAAAAUACAUUUUUGUUGUUUUAAACCACCCAGUUUGUGGUAAUUUCUAACACCAGCUACAAGAAAUCAACACAAGGCUGAUGUGACUUUCCAUCAGGAGAGAGACAGCCCCAGGUGAAACCUGCCUGCCUGACAGCUUUCCCAGCCUCCUCCAGGCUCCCCUGUUUUCUCUUAUACACAUUCCCCCCCAGUAAACUUCUUGUACAUUUAAUGCCAUCUCAGUGUCUGCUCCCAAGAGGACCCCAACUGACUCACGGGGCAUUUAACCUCCAAUUCCUUUCCUCCCUUGGCUGAGAUCUGUUCCAAGAAGUAUCUCCAGGACACUCCAGCCUGUUGCACAGGCCAAAGAAAAGCCCUCAGGCAGAGGAGCAAGUACUUGCAAGAGGACACCAGUGGCAAGAACAGGGACAUGGUGAGACAUCAACAUCAUUGGCUACAGUAGUACUAGUCACUCUUGACUAUGUUGUUUCAAUAGUUUUCCUUCUCAAAAA